CGGCGGACGGGUGAGUAACGCGUGAGCAACCUUCCUUUCGACAGGGGAAUAACACACCGAAAGGUGUACUAAUACCGCAUAAGACCACGGGAUCACAUGGUUCUGGGGUAAAAGAUUUAUCGGUUUGGGGUGGGCUCGCGUCCGAUUAGGUAGUUGGUGAGGUAACGGCCCACCAAGCCGACGAUCGGUAGCCGACCUGAGAGGGUGAUCGGCCACAUUGGGACUGAGACACGGCCCAAACUCCUACGGGAGGCAGCAGUGGGGAAUAUUGGGCAAUGGAGGAAACUCUGACCCAGCAACGCCGCGUGGAGGAAGAAGGUUUUCGGAUCGUAAACUCCUGUCCUUGGAGACGAGUAGAAGACGGUAUCCAAGGAGGAAGCCCCGGCUAACUACGUGCCAGCAGCCGCGGUAAUACGUAUGGUGCAAGCGUUAUCCGGAUUUACUGGGUGUAAAGGGAGCGCAGGCGGUGCGGCAAGUCUGAUGUGAAAGCCCGGGGCUCAACCCCGGUACUGCAUUGGAAACUGUCGUACUAGAGUGUCGGAGGGGUAAGUGGAAUUCCUAGUGUAGCGGUGAAAUGCGUAGAUAUUAGGAGGAACACCAGUGGCGAAGGCGGCUUACUGGACGAUAACUGACGCUGAGGC
This 641-nucleotide ribosomal RNA is filed under the name uncultured bacterium. Its description in RNAcentral is "bacterial SSU rRNA". It matches the Rfam family "Bacterial small subunit ribosomal RNA", at positions 96 to 752 of the family's 1533-position model. The record is from RNAcentral.